UAAGGGGCCUCGCUCCCUCGGGAGCUGUUCGCGCCCCCCUGCUGCAACCCCGGCCCGGCGCCGCCCGCGCCCCGCACUUCCUUCGCGACCCCCGAGCCGGUGGCCUUGCCCCCCACCUCGUGUGUGGCCGCCUAGCAUCCUGAGAGGCCGGCACCGGCGUCCUGGCGCCUCCGCUUUCACCUCUGGGGCGCCGCGGCCGCCUCCGAACCGCAUUGCGCGGAUCCUCAUACCUCCAGGGUGGGGUGUAGGACAAAGGGACCGGACGGCUCGGAUGGGCGCCUUGUCUGCGUCGUCGCACUAGGAGCACGUCCAAGCCACCCCCCCGCCCAACCGGGAAAAUGAGCUGUUUUCCCAAUCGCGAAACAUUCCCCCACUCCGCUUUCCCAACCACCAACAAAAUUUAUCCCUGAGAGCGAUUUUGAGGAGUGUCUUGACCUCAUCCAUCGAAGGAUGACAGUGGCUACACAAUGACAUUGUUUUACUCAAAAGAUGUGUUAUCCGCGUGUUUCACCGCAGGAAAACAAACAGCUACUGGCUUGAGAGUUGUCGAGUGGGUGUUGUUGACCGAAGGGGACUGAGGCGUAGCAUUGGCCCUAGGUGUCCCAAAUGAGAUUAUUUGAAACCAGAAGCAGAUGUCUUCAUCAAACACGAAGUGCUAAAGAUUUCAGCAAAAACAGACGGAGUUUUCCUUGGGUAAAGAUCUCAGAAACAAGCCCAUCUUUCCAAGAACCGGAAUUGCAAAAUAAUCCAGCUGCCCUGUCAUGAGAAUGCUCAGCCAGGCUUGUGGAGGAACCUUCUUGCAGAGGAACCAACUGGCCAGCACCAGUUUGCCAACACAUGAGUGACACUGGGCGCAGACCUUCCAGCAAGAAUGGUGGCACACACCUGUAAUCCCAGCACUCUGAGAGGCUGAGGCAGGAGGACUGCAAGUUUGAGCCCAGCCUGGGCAAUUUAGUGACCUAGGAAGACCCUGAGAC
RNAcentral lists this long non-coding RNA (977 nucleotides) under Heterocephalus glaber (naked mole-rat). Its description in RNAcentral is "lncRNA (ENSHGLG00000031837.2)". Lineage: Eukaryota; Metazoa; Chordata; Mammalia; Rodentia; Bathyergidae. The record is from RNAcentral.